This 429-nucleotide ribosomal RNA is filed under the name bacterium. RNAcentral's name for it is "partial 16S ribosomal RNA". It matches the Rfam family "Bacterial small subunit ribosomal RNA", at positions 355 to 776 of the family's 1533-position model. The record is from RNAcentral.
UAGGGAAUCUUCGGCAAUGGACGGAAGUCUGACCGAGCAACGCCGCGUGAGUGAAGAAGGUUUUCGGAUCGUAAAGCUCUGUUGCAAGAGAAGAACGAGUGUGAGAGUGGAAAGUUCACACUGUGACGGUAUCUUACCAGAAAGGGACGGCUAACUACGUGCCAGCAGCCGCGGUAAUACGUAGGUCCCGAGCGUUGUCCGGAUUUAUUGGGCGUAAAGCGAGCGCAGGCGGUUAGAUAAGUCUGAAGUUAAAGGCUGUGGCUUAACCAUAGUACGCUUUGGAAACUGUUUAACUUGAGUGCAGAAGGGGAGAGUGGAAUUCCAUGUGUAGCGGUGAAAUGCGUAGAUAUAUGGAGGAACACCGGUGGCGAAAGCGGCUCUCUGGUCUGUAACUGACGCUGAGGCUCGAAAGCGUGGGGAGCAAACAGG